GACGAACGCUGGCGGCGUGCCUAAUACAUGCAAGUAGAACGCUGAAGGAGGAGCUUGCUUCUCUGGAUGAGUUGCGAACGGGUGAGUAACGCGUAGGUAACCUGCCUGGUAGCGGGGGAUAACUAUUGGAAACGAUAGCUAAUACCGCAUAAUAGCAGUUGUUGCAUGACAACUGUUUGAAAGGUGCAAUUGCACCACUACCAGAUGGACCUGCGUUGUAUUAGCUAGUUGGUGGGGUAACGGCUCACCAAGGCGACGAUACAUAGCCGACCUGAGAGGGUGAUCGGCCACACUGGGACUGAGACACGGCCCAGACUCCUACGGGAGGCAGCAGUAGGGAAUCUUCGGCAAUGGACGGAAGUCUGACCGAGCAACGCCGCGUGAGAGAAGAAGGUUUUCGGAUCGUAAAGCUCUGUUGUAAGAGAAGAACGAGUGUGAGAGUGGAAAGUUCACACUGUGACGGUAUCUUACCAGAAAGGGACGGCUAACUACGUG
This 495-nucleotide ribosomal RNA is filed under the name uncultured bacterium. RNAcentral describes it as "partial 16S ribosomal RNA". It matches the Rfam family "Bacterial small subunit ribosomal RNA", at positions 28 to 507 of the family's 1533-position model. The record is from RNAcentral.